Molecule: non-coding RNA, 29 nt
Filed under: Mus musculus (house mouse)
Lineage: Eukaryota; Metazoa; Chordata; Mammalia; Rodentia; Muridae
Source: RNAcentral
UCAUUCACUAAGGAUAUUUGGACCAAUUA